Molecule: transfer RNA, 65 nt
Filed under: Lyropaeus philippinensis
Lineage: Eukaryota; Metazoa; Arthropoda; Insecta; Coleoptera; Lycidae
Description: tRNA-Glu
Source: RNAcentral
UUAUGAAUUAAGAUUAAUUUUACAAUGAAAAUGUAGGGUUUUUUUUAAACUACAUUAGUAGAAAU